GGCGUGAAGACCUUACCGGAUUAGCUGAGAGGUGGUGCAUGGCCGUCGUCAGUUCGUACUGUGAAGCAUCCUGUUAAGUCAGGCAACGAGCGAGACCCACGUCCACAGUUGCCAGCAUACCCUCCGGGGUGAUGGGUACACUGUGGGAGACCGCCGCUGCUAAAGCGGAGGAAGGAAUGGGCAACGGUAGGUCAGUAUGCCCCGAAUCUCCCGGGCUACACGCGGGCUACAAUGGUUGGUACAAUGGGCAUCUACCCCGAAAGGGGAAGGAAAUCUCUUAAAGCCAAUCGUAGUUCGGAUUGAGGGCUGCAACUCGCCCUCAUGAAGCUGGAAUCCGUAGUAAUCGCGUUUCAACAGAACGCGGUGAAUACGUCCCUGCUCCGUU
RNAcentral lists this ribosomal RNA (385 nucleotides) under uncultured Methanosaeta sp. RNAcentral describes it as "bacterial SSU rRNA". It matches the Rfam family "Archaeal small subunit ribosomal RNA", at positions 957 to 1338 of the family's 1478-position model. Lineage: Archaea; Methanobacteriati; Methanobacteriota; Methanomicrobia; Methanotrichales; Methanotrichaceae. The record is from RNAcentral.